This 205-nucleotide ribosomal RNA is filed under the name uncultured Dialister sp. Its description in RNAcentral is "partial 16S ribosomal RNA". It matches the Rfam family "Bacterial small subunit ribosomal RNA", at positions 292 to 487 of the family's 1533-position model. The record is from RNAcentral. Lineage: Bacteria; Bacillati; Bacillota; Negativicutes; Veillonellales; Veillonellaceae.
CUGAGAGGAUGAACGGCCACACUGGAACUGAGACACGGUCCAGACUCCUACGGGAGGCAGCAGUGGGGAAAUCUUCCGCAAUGGGCGAAAGCCUGUCGGAGCAACGCCGCGUGAGUGAUGACGGCCUUUCGGGUUGUAAAACUCUGUGAUCCGGGACGAAAAGGCAGAGUGCGAAGAACAAACUGCAUUGACGGUACCGAAAAGC